This 253-nucleotide ribosomal RNA is filed under the name uncultured bacterium. RNAcentral's name for it is "partial 16S ribosomal RNA". It matches the Rfam family "Bacterial small subunit ribosomal RNA", at positions 524 to 776 of the family's 1533-position model. The record is from RNAcentral.
UACGGAGGGUGCGAGCGUUAUUCGGAAUUACUGGGCGUGAAGGGCGCGUAGGCGGCCUAAUCAGUCUGAUGUGAAAGCCCUGGGCUUAACCUGGGAAUGGCAUUGGAUACUGUUGGGCUAGAGUUUGAUAGAGGGGAGUGGAAUUUCCGGUGUAGCGGUGAAAUGCGUAGAGAUCGGAAGGAACACCAGUGGCGAAGGCGACUCUCUGGAUUAAAACUGACGCUGAGGUGCGAAAGCGUGGGUAGCAAACAGG